Long non-coding RNA from Oncorhynchus tshawytscha (Chinook salmon), 365 nucleotides. NCBI's taxonomy places the organism in Eukaryota, Metazoa, Chordata, Actinopteri, Salmoniformes, Salmonidae. The record is from Ensembl.
GUUACAUUACCUUUCUCCUCAGAAGCCAUCCCAGAAUGGCUUCCAUAUCGUCUCUCCCAGAGCAGGAUCUCUCCUGUCCUGUUUGUCUUCAAGAAUCCUGUCAACCUGAGGAAGAGGUUGUGAAAAUCAUCCUAACGUGGCCUUGAGAAACCAGUGUGAGGCCUUCUCACCGUCCCAGCUAGAAACUCAGAGGACGUUUGAGAUGUUCUGCAGUCUGCACGGAGAGAAAUUCAAGCUCUUCUGUCUGGAGGAUAAACAGCCUGCCUGUGUGGUGUGGCAGACUGCCAAACUACACACCAACCAUACUACACACCAACCAUACUUCACACCAACCAUACUACACACCAACCAUACUACACACCAAC